UACGUAGGGCGCAAGCGUUGUCCGGAAUUAUUGGGCGUAAAGAGCUCGUAGGCGGCUUGUCACGUCGGGUGUGAAAGCCCGGGGCUUAACCCCGGGUCUGCAUUCGAUACGGGCAGGCUAGAGUGUGGUAGGGGAGAUCGGAAUUCCUGGUGUAGCGGUGAAAUGCGCAGAUAUCAGGAGGAACACCGGUGGCGAAGGCGGAUCUCUGGGCCAUUACUGACGCUGAGGAGCGAAAGCGUGGGGAGCGAAACAGG
RNAcentral lists this ribosomal RNA (254 nucleotides) under uncultured bacterium. RNAcentral describes it as "partial 16S ribosomal RNA". It matches the Rfam family "Bacterial small subunit ribosomal RNA", at positions 524 to 776 of the family's 1533-position model. The record is from RNAcentral.